This 574-nucleotide long non-coding RNA is filed under the name Setaria viridis. RNAcentral's name for it is "long non-coding RNA (SVIR_LNC004244)". Lineage: Eukaryota; Viridiplantae; Streptophyta; Magnoliopsida; Poales; Poaceae. The record is from RNAcentral.
GGGUCAGUGUGAUGUUCUGGACCGCACGCCAAAGAACGAUGAACUCUUCAAAGUGGUGUACAGAGAAACUUUCAUGCUGGAUAUUUAGGCCCUGACCGAGUUCUGGUUUGUUAAGGCCGCUUGUAGUGUUCUGUUUUUCCUUUUUGAGAUUUCAAAGAGAUUUGGCGCCAAGUCAGCCGGCUGUUGACACUCCACGUAUACUCAUGCUGACUUUUAUACUGGAAGUUACGCAAAAACAUACCUUUCAUCCUCAUAAAAAUAUUCCAUCCAUGAGACAUGACUCUCUCCCAUCAUUAUGCAAAAAGAUAUAGGUUAUGAAAAAAAGAGAAAAAGAAAUAAAUAUCCAUGCUCAAAAGCAUGAGAGAAAAAGAGAAAGAAAGAGAAAAAGAUAAAGAAAGAAAAAUAGCCCAUAUCCGAAAAAGAAAUAAGAGGGGAGUCAUGCAAAAAGGAGUUCAAAUAAAUUCCACCAAGAUUCCACACACAUUGACUACUUGAUCGUAUUGUAUGCUUGCACCUCGUCGGAUUCACUCUUUGACAUUGCAACAUUAUGUGAUACAAGUAUGCCUCAUUUCAU